GAGAAGGCGUUCCAGGAGGGAGCCCCGGCAAGGAGCCCCGGGAAAGAGCCCCGGGCCGGGCCUAGUCGCGCCCGGUCCCGCCCGUCGCCCGGCAACGGCCGCGCCGGCGAUCGCCUGCGUUAGUCGGGAAUCGCCUCAUGUCGCCGCAGCGCCACUUCCUCAGCCGGGCCAAAGCCGCGCCGCCAGGAUUUAUUAUCUGUGCCCGUGCCCUGCCAGGAUUUAUUAUCGGUGUCCCUAUCCUGCAAAUAACCCUGUUCCCACAAGGAGCGCAUCCAUACAUCCAUGACACUCGUACCAGGGCCGAAACACCUUGGUCGACCCCACCCUUGCGGUCAGAGCGGUUGUGCGAUCCACCUGGCAAGCAGCUUUCCCCCGGUGAGCGGACACUGUGCCAAGCAGCACACGUUCCUGCAGAGCUGGUGUCCUAGAGGUCAUUGUCCCCAGUAUGGGCCACGAUGAAGGCACCUGAAUUCCACGGUGCUCUGGGAAUACCAAUCUCAUGCAUCAAAGGAAAGCUGUACACUUCAGGACCAGGUUACUAUUUAUGAUUCUUCUUUUAAUGGAGAAAAUACAAGAGUGAAAGAGUUGACUUUCUGAGUACAGAAGUAAUAUGGAAUCUCUCCUCCAGAAGUUAAGGGCAUUUGAGAGUUAUGAAAAAUCCAAAGCCAAGACAAUUACGGAAACAACUGCGCAAGGAAGUGGUGGAAUCAUCAUCUGGAAGUGUUCAAAAGGCCUGUGGAUUGGGCACUUUGGGACAAGUGAAUAUGGUGGUACUGGUUUAAUGUUUGGCCUUGAUGAUCUUAGAGGUCUUUUACAACCUAAACAAUUCUGUGAUUCUCAAUUUGUUGCUGUUUCCUUCAGUAUAAAAUACAAAGAGCAUCGGAUUGAAUUAUUUAACUCUUCAAAGCAAGCUCAUUGUGUUCCUUAUUUAGUUCCUUGGAAACUUCCAAAAAAUAUGUACAACUCCUUACCACAGCUUGUUGUGGAUACUAAAAUUUUACAGGGUUUUGAAAAACAAUAGCACAAAUUACUGGAAAGACAAUGAAAUACAAUGUGAAAGCCUCUGACUUAGGAAGUCUUGAGGCUGGAGAAGUGCCUGCACUUGCCUGCUCUCCUUUUUUACUCUUCUCUCAGCAUCUGUUGCUCAGCACUGUCAGAAAAGUAUGAGGCUAGUUAGACCUUUUGUCUGAGCCAGCAUAGCUGUUCUUCUGUCCCUAUGUGCUCAGAGGCACAGUGUGGUGAGCUUGGCUGGGUUAUGCAACACACUUUUUUGCCUCUUCCAAAAUUAUUUCAGGUCUCCCUGUUGUUCCUGUUGCCACAGUCCUGGCAUACCUGACUGACAAUCUGUUCCUAUGCUGGGCUUAUCCACCCCAGUCUCAGCCUUUGGUAACUGUCUUGGACAGACAGAGCCAAAGUUUGGAUAUGAAAGAAGAGGGAGGCUGUGCCUCCAUAUGGCUGUGAGGAUAGUGUGCUAUGCAGGAGCAGAUUGAGCCGUAGAAGUGCUGUGGGAGGAUUAUAUUCACUGUACACUUCCUGGCCUUUCUUGCCCCAAGUGAAUCAACAUCUGGGCUGAGGGCUGCAAAAUGAGCAACCUCCAUCUGCUGUCACCAGUGUCUCUGUGCCAGAGGACAUUUCAACCUUCAUGAAAUAUGGGAUCACUGGUGAUUUUCCCAAGUUUGUAGUGCAGUAUAACAUGGCACAUUCUUUAACACUAGCUUCCUGCUUCUCUCUUGUGCCAUGCUGAGCAUCAGAUGUCUAGGACAUCUUGCCCUUUUCAUGCACUGCCAUCAUCAGCUACUCCACCUUCUGUCCAGCACAGCUUCACUGGCUACCUUGAGUGUAGGGCCUGUAUGUUUUGUAGGUGAACAGGCUCUGCUGUGCAAUUUGUGCCUCUGGGGCCCUAUUUCUAGUUGAGCUACUGAACAGAAACCUGAAAAAGUAUCACGGAAAUCUGCAACAGAAAUGUGAAUGUUAAAGAAUGGGAAAAACACAGUGAGCUAGAAAAAAAUGGAAUUACGAGAAUUUGAACCUGAACUCCUUUUUGACAUCUCAGAACAUGCUUCAGGAUGUCCCUGAGGACCUGGGCUCGACAGAGUGGUUAGGGUCAAUAGAAAGUGUGCAUACCUCAUCUUUUUUUCCAAAAUGGACCUUUAAAUGGAGGGUAUUUGGCACUAGCAAAGGCAGUUCAGUAAGUAUGCGUCUCUCCUUCCAGCGCAAUGUGUACAAGUUGUAAUCAGCUCACAGUUCUGCCAGAAGAACUUUCUGUUGUAGACAUGACCUCAGUCCUUUACAGCAAGGAACACAGGCUAAUAUUUGUGCAACAGAGCUAUGUGUGCAAAAAUCUCUACUGCAACAGUACAGGCAUGUGAGACUAAAUAGCCAGUUAGAUGUGAACUGAUUGUUCAUACAAUCCAAAGAACAGUGCAUGUACAGAAACCAUACUUAGAAAAGGUAUAAUCAUGCUUUCUAGCACAUAAUAUUGUGACAUUUUUGUAGGAAGCUACAUUUACCUUUUCAUUUCUAUCUUACUUUUCCUCCUGAAGAAAAGGGUAGUUUUUCUCUGCCUUCAGUAAUACUCUGACCAUUUAAUAAAACAGUAUCACAUGUUCA
This is a long non-coding RNA of Cyanistes caeruleus (blue tit), 2610 nucleotides long. The record is from Ensembl. Lineage: Eukaryota; Metazoa; Chordata; Aves; Passeriformes; Paridae.